Molecule: small RNA, 612 nt
Filed under: Histoplasma capsulatum
Lineage: Eukaryota; Fungi; Ascomycota; Eurotiomycetes; Onygenales; Ajellomycetaceae
Description: hypothetical RNA
Source: RNAcentral
AGGACGGCCGAAUGGUAGUAGUAUGAAUUUUAACCCGGCAGAGGUCCCGGAUGAAGUUCGGGAGGAGAUUAAGAAGAGGAUUGGGCGGAGGAUUAGGGAGCUGAGGAACGCAGUAGAGCAAUUGGAAGAGAGCGUUACGCAGUGAACAGGUUAUGUUUUUUUUUUUUUUUUUUUCCCCUCUCGUUACGUGUACUUGUACAUACAUUGACGAACAGAUGAGAGUUUUAUGGUUGCUGGUUCAGCAACUCCUCUAAACCGUGGGGCAUUUAGCUAUCCGUUCUAUCCUGUAUCAUAUGCUUGAUGAGUGGGUUUUUAUGUAAUGCCUGCUCAGGAUGUACAGGGUGUUUUUAAAACAGUUUUAACCCUGCGGCUUUGGCAUUAAAACGGCAGCAACCAGAACAACAUACCCUAAGUCAUGGUGAACAUGGUCAGGUGGAAAAGCUUCGGCAGUGGCGCCAACGUCUGAACCUGAACCAGAAAGAAAGAAGGAAUCCGUCCGAAUAUUGCAGAGAAACAUGCCUGAUCCCCCAUAGGUUGUUUUUGCAAAUGCAUAUGUUAGAACCAUGUUACUCAUGUCAAACUUUUAUUGCAAUCCCAUUUAUUAUUCGCCCC